CAGCAGUCGCCACGGUAAUACAGAGGGUGCGAGCGUUAAUCGGAUUUACUGGGCGUAAAGCGUGCGUAGGCGGCUUCUUAAGUCGGAUGUGAAAUCCCUGAGCUUAACUUAGGAAUUGCAUUCGAUACUGGGAAGCUAGAGUAUGGGAGAGGAUGGUAGAAUUCCAGGUGUAGCGGUGAAAUGCGUAGAGAUCUGGAGGAAUACCGAUGGCGAAGGCAGCCAUCUGGCCUAAUACUGACGCUGAGGUACGAAAGCAUGGGGAGCAAACAGGAUUAGAUACCCGAGUAGUCCCUGUCUCUUAUAC
This 304-nucleotide ribosomal RNA is filed under the name uncultured bacterium. Its description in RNAcentral is "partial 16S ribosomal RNA". It matches the Rfam family "Bacterial small subunit ribosomal RNA", at positions 506 to 807 of the family's 1533-position model. The record is from RNAcentral.